UGCUGGGACAUAUAGAAGCAGCUUUUCUUCCUGCUUACAAGAUCUACUCUGUCUUGUUGGAGGGGAAAAUGAGUGCAUCCUCACUGGGGGUUUAUAAUCUCCCUCCAACUAAGGACACCUGGAACCAGAGAGUUGCUCCUCCUUUUGAUUCUUCACAUCUUUGAUGCCAUCCUCUUCUCUCCUGAACAAGAUGUCCUCUUCUUGAAUCAAAGAUGUAAUGCCAAAAUUCUGACUCUAUGCGGGAGAUCAUUUUGUUUUCAUGAGAAGAAAGCAAAACAUUUUCCUCUUCUUUCUGUAGGAGAAGCCAUAUUUAUAUAAGUCAUGAUUUUAAAAGACUUAUGGUUUCCAAACCCAAGCAGGCACUAUCUCUCUAUUUUUUACCUGAACAAUCUUCUGACAUGCCAAGAAAUUGACUGCACUGGGCUGCAGCUCUUGUCUUCAGGCCAGCAGAAAAACAUUAACACUUUCCUGCUUGUCAUACAAGGAUCACACUAACUCAUAGAACUGACUUCUAGUGCUGAUGGCAACUUGAGCCACAACAUUCAAGGAGUUCAAGGAAGAAUUUAUAGCCUCACUGUGAAGAGCUCUUUAGAAGUGCCCUUUCUAGAACGAACUUCUGGUGAGUCAUCAUCAAUACCUCAUCCUUGUGUCAGACCUCAUCAGGUGUACUUGUCAAUGGAAAAUGUUCCUAAGCCAGUACUUCAAGGAGAGUGUGCAUCUACCUUCUGAGAUUUACUGAAUUACAGCGACCACAAAUAUCCCUCGAGUCAAGUGGGCUAGAGGGUCUGAAAUACAGGCAGGUAUACCUGCAGCAGGGCAGCACAAUGGAUCCAGAUCCUACUGACAAUCAGGGCUGCUUCCGUGGACUUUUGCAGAAGGUCUUUUUAUUCAAGAAUGUGCCUUCCUUUAGUGACGUCUAAUUAUAUGUGAAUUUAGUCAAGAAAAAUGGCAACCGUAUUAUAAUAAGCUAGAAAGUCUUUAGGCCUAGUGUUUUUCAAAUUUUCCUGGUAAGAAGCUUAUUAGGGGGAGCCCAUUAAGAAUACAGAAUUCCAAGCCAAACCUGAGAUCCACUGAAUCAGAAUCUACAAGAGUUAGAUAAUUGGUAUUUUUUAUUGAAAGUCUCAAGUAAGUCUUGAGUUCAAGCAAGAAUAAGAAAUACUGUUUAAGCCAAUAAGGAGGAAGUCCAAUAAGAAUACAUCAGUCCAAGGUCCCCUUAGCCCAGCAUUCAAGGUCUGACAGUAGCCUACUAUCUAUCUGCACUUAUCUGAAAGGGAAAGGCAGUUGUGGUAUAAUAGAAUGAGCAUUGGA
RNAcentral lists this long non-coding RNA (1308 nucleotides) under Homo sapiens (human). RNAcentral describes it as "HSALNT0368612". Lineage: Eukaryota; Metazoa; Chordata; Mammalia; Primates; Hominidae. The record is from RNAcentral.